GUUUGACUAAUUAGUGACAUUAACUAGAACUAGCAGACUAGAACUGGAAAUGCAUUGAAAAUAUUGACCAGACUCUCUAUUCUACUCAGUUGCACUCAACACAUUGUUUGGUAUAUUUACUUCCACGUUAGGCAUAUCAGUUCCAUCCAUAUUUCAAUGUCAUCUGGUUGCUGAACCCAAUAACUGACACAUUCAGCCAAUUAAUGCCAUCC
Molecule: non-coding RNA, 212 nt
Organism: Pelobates cultripes (western spadefoot toad)
Lineage: Eukaryota; Metazoa; Chordata; Amphibia; Anura; Pelobatidae
Source: the annotation of a GenBank genome assembly